Molecule: ribosomal RNA, 483 nt
Filed under: uncultured bacterium
Lineage: Bacteria
Description: bacterial SSU rRNA
Rfam family: Bacterial small subunit ribosomal RNA
Source: RNAcentral
AUGAAACACUCCUACGGGAGGCAGCAGUGGGGAAUCUUCCGCAAUGGACGAAAGUCUGACGGAGCAACGCCGCGUGAGUGAUGACGGCCUUCGGGUUGUAAAGCUCUGUUAAUCGGGACGAAUGGUUCUUGUGCGAAUAGUGCGAGGAUUUGACGGUACCGGAAUAGAAAGCCACGGCUAACUACGUGCCAGCAGCCGCGGUAAUACGUAGGUGGCAAGCGUUGUCCGGAAUUAUUGGGCGUAAAGCGCGCGCAGGCGGAUUGGUCAGUCUGUCUUAAAAGUUCGGGGCUUAACCCCGUGAUGGGAUGGAAACUGCUGAUCUAGAGUAUCGGAGAGGAAAGUGGAAUUCCUAGUGUAGCGGUGAAAUGCGUAGAUAUUAGGAAGAACACCAGUGGCGAAGGCGACUUUCUGGACGAAAACUGACGCUGAGGCGCGAAAGCCAGGGGAGCGAACGGGAUUAGAUACCCUUGUAGUCCGAAGUUC